UUAAAAACAAUGAUAGAGAGUAGUAAGCUGCCGCUGCCUUUGCAGGGAGGAAAUGCCGUGACUGGAAGCAUUUCUACAGGGAAGCCGCCGAAUUCGCUCUGGAGUUGCCGCUUAGUUGGUAUACAAAAGCGGAUCGGUGACAAACCGUUAUUCUUUGCUUAAGGCUGAUAGAUUCAUUCUAUCAGUGAAUUAGGGUGGUACCGCGAAAUCAAAUCUUCGCCCCUUUA
The sequence is a non-coding RNA, 227 nucleotides long. It matches the Rfam family "T-box leader". Rfam says of the family: Uncharged tRNA acts as the effector for transcription antitermination of genes in the T-box leader family. T-boxes are found upstream of many aminoacyl-tRNA synthetase genes and some amino acid biosynthetic genes usually in Gram-positive bacteria. The anticodon of a specific tRNA base pairs to a specifier sequence within the T-box motif, and the NCCA acceptor tail of the tRNA base pairs to a conserved bulge in the T-box antiterminator hairpin.